GUUCGGAUUGUAGGCUGCAACUCGCCUACAUGAAGCUGGAAUUGCUAGUAAUCACAGGUCAGCAUACUGUGGUGAAUACGUUCCCGGGCCUUGUACACACCGCCCGUCACACCAUGAGAGUUGAGAAUACCCGAAGUCCAUGUCAAAGUGGCCGAAGGUAGGCUUGAUGAUUGGGGUGAAGUCGUAACAAGGUACC
Molecule: ribosomal RNA, 196 nt
Filed under: uncultured bacterium
Lineage: Bacteria
Description: partial 16S ribosomal RNA
Rfam family: Bacterial small subunit ribosomal RNA
Source: RNAcentral